RNAcentral lists this ribosomal RNA (301 nucleotides) under uncultured bacterium. RNAcentral's name for it is "partial 16S ribosomal RNA". It matches the Rfam family "Bacterial small subunit ribosomal RNA", at positions 509 to 807 of the family's 1533-position model. The record is from RNAcentral.
CAGCCGCCGCGGUAAUACAGAGGGUGCGAGCGUUAAUCGGAUUUACUGGGCGUAAAGCGUGCGUAGGCGGCUUUUUAAGUCGGAUGUGAAAUCCCCGAGCUUAACUUGGGAAUUGCAUUCGAUACUGGGAAGCUAGAGUAUGGGAGAGGAUGACAGAAUUCCAGGUGUAGCGGUGAAGUGCGUAGAGAUCUGGAGGAAUACCGAUGGCGAAGGCAGCCAUCUGGCCUAAUACUGACGCUGAGGUACGAAAGCAUGGGGAGCAAACAGGAUUAGAUACCCGUGUAGUCCCUGUCUCUUAUAC